ACUCAAAUGAAUAGACGGGGGCCCGCACAAGCGGUGGAUCAUGUGGUUUAAUUCGAAGCAACGCGAAGAACCUUACCUGGGCUUGACAUCCUAAUGAAUAUUUUUAGAGAUAGAAAUAGGCUCGCAAGAGACAUUAGAGACAGGUGCUGCAUGGCUGUCGUCAGCUCGUGUUGUGAAAUGUUGGGUUAAGUCCCGCAACGAGCGCAACCCCUGUCUUUGGUUGCCAUCAUUAAGUUGGGCACUCCAGAGAGACUGCCGUCGUCAAGACGGAGGAAGGUGGGGAUGACGUCAAGUCCUCAUGGCCCUUAUGUCCAGGGCGACACACGUGAUACAAUGGUAGGUAUAGAGAGUAGCGAAGUGGCGACACGGAGCCAAUCUCAAAAAGCCUAUCUCAGUUCGGAUUGAAGUCUGCAACUCGACUUCAUGAAGUUGGAAUCGCUAGUAAUCGCGGAUCAGAACGCCGCGGUGAAUACGUUCCCGGGCCUUGUACACACCGCCCGU
This 501-nucleotide ribosomal RNA is filed under the name uncultured bacterium. Its description in RNAcentral is "partial 16S ribosomal RNA". It matches the Rfam family "Bacterial small subunit ribosomal RNA", at positions 899 to 1397 of the family's 1533-position model. The record is from RNAcentral.